CCUACGGGGGGCAGCAGUGAGGAAUAUUGGUCAAUGGGCGGAAGCCUGAACCAGCCAAGUAGCGUGCGGGAUGACGGCCCUACGGGUUGUAAACUGCGUUUAUACGGGAAUAACGCGCCUUACGUGUAGGGCUUUGCAUGUACCGUAUGAAUAAGGACCGGCUAAUCCAGUGUCAGCAGCCGCGGUAAUACGGAAGGUCCGGGCGUUACCCGGUUUUAUUGGGUUUAAAGGGAGCGUAGGCCGCAUGUCAAGCGUGCUGUGAAGUGUCCGGGCGCAACCCGGGCCUUGCAGCGCGAACUGGCGUGCUUGAGUCCGCGGAAAGCAGGCGGAAUUCGUCGUGUAGCGGUGAAAUGCUUAGAUAUGACGAAGAACCCCGAUUGCGAAGGCAGCUUGCUGCAGCGGAACUGACGCUGAUGCUCGAAAGCGCGGGUAUCGAACAGGAUUAGAUACCCCAGUAGUC
This 460-nucleotide ribosomal RNA is filed under the name uncultured bacterium. RNAcentral describes it as "partial 16S ribosomal RNA". It matches the Rfam family "Bacterial small subunit ribosomal RNA", at positions 338 to 795 of the family's 1533-position model. The record is from RNAcentral.